RNAcentral lists this ribosomal RNA (268 nucleotides) under uncultured bacterium. RNAcentral's name for it is "partial 16S ribosomal RNA". It matches the Rfam family "Bacterial small subunit ribosomal RNA", at positions 86 to 353 of the family's 1533-position model. The record is from RNAcentral.
AGAUGGCGACCGGCGCACGGGUGAGUAACACGUAUCCAACCUGCCGAUAACUCCGGAAUAGCCUUUCGAAAGAAAGAUUAAUACCGGAUGGCAUACGAAUAUCGCAUGAUAUUUUUAUUAAAGAAUUUCGGUUAUCGAUGGGGAUGCGUUCCAUUAGGCAGUUGGUGGGGUAAUGGCCCACCAAACCUUCGAUGGAUAGGGGUUCUGAGAGGAAGGUCCCCCACAUUGGAACUGAGACACGGUCCAAACUCCUACGGGAGGCAGCAUG